Molecule: ribosomal RNA, 468 nt
Filed under: uncultured bacterium
Lineage: Bacteria
Description: partial 16S ribosomal RNA
Rfam family: Bacterial small subunit ribosomal RNA
Source: RNAcentral
GACGAACGCUGGCGGCGUGCUUAACACAUGCAAGUCGAACGGCAAGGCCCUGCUUUUGUGGGGUGCUCGAGUGGCGAACGGGUGAGUAACACGUGAGUAACCUGCCCUUGACUUUGGGAUAACUUCAGGAAACUGGGGCUAAUACCGGAUAGGAGCUCCUGCUGCAUUGUGGGGGUUGGAAAGUUGCGGCGGUUGGGGCUGGACUCGCGGCUUAUCAGCUUGUUGGUGGGGUAGUGGCUUACCAAGGCUUUGAAGGGUAGCCGGCCUGGGAGGGUGACCGGCCACAUUGGGACUAAGAGACGCACCAGACUCCUACGGGAGGCAGCAGUGGGGAAUAUUGCACAAUCGGCGGAAGCCUGAUGCAACAACGCCGCGUGCGGGAUGACGGCCUUCGGGUUGUAAACCGCUUUCGCCUGUGACGAAGCGUGAGUGACGGUACUGGGUAAAGAAGCACCGGCUAACUACGUG